RNAcentral lists this transfer RNA (59 nucleotides) under Bubalus quarlesi (mountain anoa). RNAcentral's name for it is "tRNA-Ser". The record is from RNAcentral. Lineage: Eukaryota; Metazoa; Chordata; Mammalia; Artiodactyla; Bovidae.
GAAAAAGCACGCAAGAACUGCUAAUUCUAUGCCCCAUGCCUAACAGUAUGGCUUUUUCA